This 287-nucleotide ribosomal RNA is filed under the name uncultured bacterium. RNAcentral's name for it is "partial 16S ribosomal RNA". It matches the Rfam family "Bacterial small subunit ribosomal RNA", at positions 337 to 619 of the family's 1533-position model. The record is from RNAcentral.
UCCCUACGGGACGCAGCAGUGAGGAAUAUUGGUCAAUGGGCUUACGCCUGAACCAGCCAAGUCGCGUGAGGGAAGACUGCCCUAUGGGUUGUAAACCUCUUUUGUCAGGGAGCAAUUGGCGCUACGUGUAGCGUUAUCGAGAGUACCUGAAGAAAAAGCAUCGGCUAACUCCGUGCCAGCAGCCGCGGUAAUACGGAGGAUGCGAGCGUUAUCCGGAUUUAUUGGGUUUAAAGGGUGCGUAGGAGGAAUGAGAAGUAAGCGGUAAAAUCGCGGGGCUCAACUUUGCU